GACGAACGCUGGCGGCGUGCUUAACACAUGCAAGUCGAACGGAAAGGCCCUGCUUUUGUGGGGUGCUCGAGUGGCGAACGGGUGAGUAACACGUGAGUAACCUGCCCUUGACUUUGGGAUAACUUCAGGAAACUGGGGCUAAUACCGGAUAGGAGCUCCUGCUGCAUGGUGGGGGUUGGAAAGUUUCGGCGGUUGGGGAUGGACUCGCGGCUUAUCAGCUUGUUGGUGGGGUAGUGGCUUACCAAGGCUUUGACGGGUAGCCGGCCUGAGAGGGUGACCGGCCACAUUGGGACUGAGAUACGGCCCAGACUCCUACGGGAGGCAGCAGUGGGGAAUAUUGCACAAUGGGCGGAAGCCUGAUGCGGCAACGCCGCGUGCGGGAUGACGGCCUUCGGGUUGUAAACCGCUUUCGCCUGUGACGAAGCAUGAGUGACGGUAAUGGGUAAAGAAGCACCGGCUAACUACGUG
RNAcentral lists this ribosomal RNA (468 nucleotides) under uncultured bacterium. RNAcentral describes it as "partial 16S ribosomal RNA". It matches the Rfam family "Bacterial small subunit ribosomal RNA", at positions 28 to 507 of the family's 1533-position model. The record is from RNAcentral.